CAAUAGCGUAUAUUUAAGUUGUUGCAGUUAAAAAGCUCGUAGUUGGAUUUCGGUUAAGAGCGACCGGUCCGCCGUUUGGUGUGCACUGGUUGGUUUUAACUUCCUGUAGAGGACGUGCUCUGGGUUUAACGACCUGGACUCGGAGUCUACGUGGUUACUUUGAAAAAAUUAGAGUGUUCAAAGCGGGCUUACGCUUGAAUAUUUCAGCAUGGAAUAACACUAUAGGACUCCUGUCCUAUUUCGUUGGUCUCGGGACGGGGGUAAUGAUUAAGAGGAACAGUUGGGGGCAUUCGUAUUUCAUUGUCAGAGGUGAAAUUCUUGGAUUUAUGAAAGACGAACUUCUGCGAAAGCAUUUGCCAAGGAUGUUUUCAUUA
This 374-nucleotide ribosomal RNA is filed under the name uncultured eukaryote. RNAcentral's name for it is "partial 18S ribosomal RNA". It matches the Rfam family "Eukaryotic small subunit ribosomal RNA", at positions 592 to 975 of the family's 1831-position model. The record is from RNAcentral.